AUCUACCCAGCAUGCCUAAUCAAGGAGAAGACUGCUAUUUUUUUUUCUAUUCUACAUGCACCAAAAGUGACAACUGCCAAUUUAUCACUGUGAAGCUGCACUAGGAAAUGAAACUAUUUGCACAUUAUGGCAAGAAAGGAGCUGUUUUCAAGAGGUAUGCUGGUUUUGGCACAUGCAAAUUGAUUUUUUAAAAAUGCAGUGAAAUUCCUUGUUAUUGGGAAAAUCAACCAAUGGGAUGUCAAAAACUAAACUCCACUUUCCAUCACAACAGAGACGUUAUGUUGACGGCCUUUUUCUACCUCCAAGCAAAACUGUGUUGCCCACUGUGCCUGAGUCACCAGAAGAGGAAGUGAAUGCUAGCCAACUCAAAGUUCAACAAAACAACUGUCUGCCCAGUCUAAUCCCUCCCCUCAGCUGAGAAGUGUUAUGAAAGUUGAAAGUUCUGAAAAUGUUCCUAGCCCCACACAUCCACCAGUUGAUGAAGAUGAUGAUGAUCAGUUUUCUGAGGAAGGUGAUGAAACCAAAACACCUACACUGCAACCAACUCCUGAAGUUCAUAAUGGAUUAUGAGUGGCUUCUGCCCAGAAACCCAGGGUCAAUUUAAAGCAAGGUGAAUCUUUGAAUUUUGGAAUAAAAACUCUUGAGGAAAUUAAGUCAAAGAAAAUGAAAGAAAAAUCUAAGAAGCAGGUUGAAGGAGUUUUCAGUCUUUUAUUUUACUCUCAGCCCAUUCCAUGUCCUAAAAAAGAGAAUGUCUGGGCUAUGGUAAGGACAGUAACUCUGUCAAAGGAGAAGAACCAUUGGUUAGAUUGAGUCUUACUGAGAGACUGGGGAAACAAAAAUUUUCAGUUGGUGGUGAGAGUGAUCCUCCAUUAAAGCGUAGCCUUAUGCAGAGGCUAGGGAAGAAAGUUGAAGCUCUAGAAACUAAUACUGACAAAACACCAAAGAAGUUCAAGUUUCUAAGUCUCUGAAAGAGUGAUUAGGCAUGUCAGUUGGUCCAAAUAAUGACAAGGCAACUGAGAGAGUUAAUAAAGUUGGUGAGAUCCAUGUGAAGACAUUAUAAGAAAUUCUUCUUGAAAGAGCCAGUCAAAAACAUGGAGAAUUGCAAACUAAACUCAAGACAGAAGGACUUUCAAAAGCUGAUGAUUCUACUUCAGGAGCAAGAAGUUCUUCCACUAUCCAAAUCAAAACAUUCUCUGAGGUACUGGCUGAACAAAAACAUCAGCAGCAGGAAGCAGAGAAACAAAAAUGCAAGAAGAUGCAACACGCAUCAAACUAAAAACUGAUAAUGAAAUUUAAAAAAAAGUUAUUUUGCCACUCAUAGUUGCCAGCAAAGGACAAUCAGAGGAACCUGCAGGUAGAACAAAGUCCAUGCAGGAGGUACACAUCAAGACGCUGGAGGAAAUUAAACUAGAGAAGGCACUGAGGGUGCAGCAGAGCUCUGAGAGCAGCACUAGCUCCCAGCCUCAACCUGAGGCCACCCAGGAGCAAGGCAGGUGCUCUGAAUCACCAAAAGAACAGGAAUGAAGGAGAAGAAACUUCAGGAAGGAAGCGAAGCUGCUUUAAAGAGCAAUGUUACUAGAACAGAAGCUAAAGAGACUUCAGAUGAGACCACAGGAGUUGACAUCACUAAAAUUCAAGUCAAGAGAUGUGAGACUAUGAAAGAGAAGCAUAUGUAGAAACAGCAGAAGAGGGGAGUGAUACAGAAGGAAAAAAUCACUCUUGAUACCCCUUCACGGAGAUGUAGGCUCUUGCAAUACCCAAGUGGCAGAAAAACCAGUGCUCACUGCUGUGCCAGGCGUCAUACGGCAUCUGACCAAGCAGCUUCCCACAAAGUCAUCCCAGAAGGUGGAAGUAGAAACUUCAGGGAUUGGGGACUCAAUAUUAAAUGUGAAAUGUGCAGCACAGACCUUAGAGAAAAGAGAUAAAGCUAAAUCCAAAGUAAAUGUAAAACCAUCUGUGGUUAAAGUUGUUUCAUCCCCCAAAUUGGCUCCAAAACACAAGGCAGUGGAGGUGCACCACGCUGUCAUUGCAGUGGUGAAGCCACUCAGUUCCAGCAGUAUCCUACAGGAAAGCCCAGCCAAAAAAGCAACUGUGGUUGUUGUCCUAGUCCUCUCUGAGGACAAAUCAGUCAGUUUCUACCUGAGGCAGAAACACAUGCAGACAGCCUUGUGCGCCUCCAACCCAGUCUUCCUCAGAUCCCUCACCCCUUUUCAUACCAGAUGGGCACAAAAACUCGCCGACUCAGCUCUGCCUCAACUCAGCUCUGCCUCAAAACCCCCACUACCUAUGUAGGAUGAUUUUGAGAAACUAAUAUGGGAGAUUUCAGGAGGCAAAUGAAGCUGACAUCGACUUGGAUCCUGGGAAGGAUGAAGAUGACCUUCUGCUUGAGCUAUCAGUAAUGACUGAUAACUGAAGGUGGCAGUGAGAACACUUUAAAAAACAAAAACUCGUCAAAAAACUGGACUUUGUUUUAUCUAUCAUAACAUUUAUAUGAGAUGAUCAUUUCUUUAGUCUAGAAUUUGCCCUAAAUCAGAAGUAUACCUCUGAAUUACCUGUAUGUGUCCUAGAUUUCUUGGAGUCAGGUUUUUAAAGUCACUCAAUAACCAAUUUGUCCAUUUGAUGCCAUUAUUUAGCAUCUGAGAGAAAAAUGUUCCGUCAUACCCUUUUCUCCAAAAGAGACUGAGAAGGAGAUCUAAGUGAAAGGGUGCAAGAGAACUUAGUGACUCUUUCAGGUGUUUGUCAGUUUUUGCUUUUUCCCCCUUUGUUGUAUUCUUUCUUUUAUGUAUUGUCUUAAUGUAUUUAAUAUUACUUGAGUUUGAAAUGGAUGAAGACAGCUGCUACCAUUAAGGACCAAAUUUGAUGCUACCCCUAAACAAAAGUCCCCACUCAGUGUGUUAAAUUGUAUGUCUUUUUAAAGGUAAUUGGAGAGUCAGCUAAGCUUUAAAGAGUGCUGGGCAGCUCAGGAAGCCUGUUAAGUGGACAUAACUCUUUGGACCUGAUUUUGAUGCUUCUACUGCUCUGUUAGCCUCUGAAGAGCAAUAUCUAAUUUAUUAUUACUGUAAUUAUUUAAGGCUUUAAAGUGCCCCAGGGAUCCCCUGAAACUAAUUUUCUAUUUCUGGGGACUCCUGGGUUCAUUAUAAGAGAUGGCAAUAUGGUUUUGAGGAAUUUUUUUAGUAUGAAAAUUGUCCCUUCUCUUCAGUACUUGCCUCCUUUUAGUAUUGAAUCACCACAGGGACAAAAAUAGGUUAAUGUUUUAUUUCUAACUCUCCCAGCAAACUCCUUGCCCAGUAUUUAUUUGAUGCCCUUUAAUUCCUUGAGGGACAAAAAGGAACUCAUUUGAACUGCCAAUAUUUAUCUUUGGACCAUAGAAGUACAGUGAAUCGUACUGUGGUAGGGUUAUGGAGAUGCUCUGGGUGUGUACUGUAUACCUGCCAGCCUUCUUCAUUACUGGAUAGAAUUUUCUUUUCUUGCUGUUAGUCUCCUUCAUAUCAUCUGAAGGUUUAGACUUGUGGAGGAACAAGCACAAUGGGGAUAAUAGUCUUAAAGGAGACAUUAUUCAUAAUCAGAAGUAGGAGGAAAGAAGGACUUGUCCAUUUUGAUAUUUUGUAGGUGGCCAGUUUUGUUUCUCAUAGGAAAAUCUGACCCUCCUGUCACAAUGGCUCCUGAGGAACUGCUGUUGUAAGUGGCUCAUCAAGAGUUGAACUUUGUGUAGCCUUGUUGGGAAUAUGGAAAAGGAAGAAAGCCACAAGACUGCCCAUUCAGUCUUGGGAAGAUCUGGAUAAUUCUGCACAAGCAAAAAUGACUUGAAAUUUAUGUAUAGACAUACCUCUACCAAUCCAUCUUCAGCUGACUGAAUGUUGUACGAUAGCCCUUCUCCAAAGAAGGGGUGGAAUGUUCUGGUUUCAACACAGAUUUUCUACUCAUUUCAUUUUUAGAAUCAGCUUAUAGAUUCCAGGUCUCCAUUGUAUAUAAC
Molecule: RNA transcript, 3973 nt
Organism: Otolemur garnettii (small-eared galago)
Lineage: Eukaryota; Metazoa; Chordata; Mammalia; Primates; Galagidae
Gene name: zinc finger CCCH domain-containing protein 11A pseudogene
Exons: 1
Source: RefSeq, a predicted model, not a curated record